AGUCGAACGGUAACAGGAAGCAGCUUGCUGCUUCGCUGACGAGUGGCGGACGGGUGAGUAAUGUCUGGGAAACUGCCUGAUGGAGGGGGAUAACUACUGGAAACGGUAGCUAAUACCGCAUAACGUCGCAAGACCAAAGAGGGGGACCUUCGGGCCUCUUGCCAUCGGAUGUGCCCAGAUGGGAUUAGCUAGUAGGUGGGGUAACGGCUCACCUAGGCGACGAUCCCUAGCUGGUCUGAGAGGAUGACCAGCCACACUGGAACUGAGACACGGUCCAGACUCGUACGGGAGGCAGCAGUGGGGAAUAUUGCACAAUGGGCGCAAGCCUGAUGCAGCCAUGCCGCGUGUAUGAAGAAGGCCUUCGGGUUGUAAAGUACUUUCAGCGGGGAGGAAGGCGACAGGGUUAAUAUACCCCGUCGAUUGACGUUACCCGCAGAAGAAGCACCGGCUAACUCCGUGCCAGCAGCCGCGGUAAUACGGAGGGUGCAAGCGUUAAUCGGAAUUACUGGGCGUAAAGCGCACGCAGGCGGUCUGUCAAGUCGGAUGUGAAAUCCCCGGGCUCAACCUGGGAACUGCAUUCGAAACUGGCAGGCUAGAGUCUUGUAGAGCGGGGGUAGAAUUCCAGGUGUAGCGGUGAAAUGCGUAGAGAUCUGGAGGAAUACCGGUGGCGAAGGCG
This 676-nucleotide ribosomal RNA is filed under the name uncultured Enterobacterales bacterium. RNAcentral's name for it is "bacterial SSU rRNA". It matches the Rfam family "Bacterial small subunit ribosomal RNA", at positions 60 to 723 of the family's 1533-position model. The record is from RNAcentral. Lineage: Bacteria; Pseudomonadati; Pseudomonadota; Gammaproteobacteria; Enterobacterales.